RNAcentral lists this ribosomal RNA (637 nucleotides) under Arthrobacter sp. Se2Pt_1480. Its description in RNAcentral is "bacterial SSU rRNA". It matches the Rfam family "Bacterial small subunit ribosomal RNA", at positions 380 to 1027 of the family's 1533-position model. The record is from RNAcentral. Lineage: Bacteria; Bacillati; Actinomycetota; Actinomycetes; Micrococcales; Micrococcaceae.
AGCCUGAUGCAGCGACGCCGCGUGAGGGAUGACGGCCUUCGGGUUGUAAACCUCUUUCAGUAGGGAAGAAGCGAAAGUGACGGUACCUGCAGAAGAAGCGCCGGCUAACUACGUGCCAGCAGCCGCGGUAAUACGUAGGGCGCAAGCGUUAUCCGGAAUUAUUGGGCGUAAAGAGCUCGUAGGCGGUUUGUCGCGUCUGCCGUGAAAGUCCGGGGCUCAACUCCGGAUCUGCGGUGGGUACGGGCAGACUAGAGUGAUGUAGGGGAGACUGGAAUUCCUGGUGUAGCGGUGAAAUGCGCAGAUAUCAGGAGGAACACCGAUGGCGAAGGCAGGUCUCUGGGCAUUAACUGACGCUGAGGAGCGAAAGCAUGGGGAGCGAACAGGAUUAGAUACCCUGGUAGUCCAUGCCGUAAACGUUGGGCACUAGGUGUGGGGGACAUUCCACGUUUUCCGCGCCGUAGCUAACGCAUUAAGUGCCCCGCCUGGGGAGUACGGCCGCAAGGCUAAAACUCAAAGGAAUUGACGGGGGCCCGCACAAGCGGCGGAGCAUGCGGAUUAAUUCGAUGCAACGCGAAGAACCUUACCAAGGCUUGACAUGGACCGGACCGCCGCAGAAAUGUGGUUUCCCCUUUGGGGC